Molecule: long non-coding RNA, 526 nt
Filed under: Salmo salar (Atlantic salmon)
Lineage: Eukaryota; Metazoa; Chordata; Actinopteri; Salmoniformes; Salmonidae
Description: lncRNA (ENSSSAG00000103679.1)
Source: RNAcentral
GCUGGGUGGAACGACAGGGCCCUAAUAGAUCACUACCGGUGUAGCCUUAGGGAGGACGUCUGCAGGGAGCUAGCGUGUCGGGACACUACACUCUCCCUAGAUGAACUGAUCAACAUGUCUAUACGACUGGACAAUCUGCUGGCUGCCCGCGGGCGUUCAGAGAGGGUCCUGUCAGUUCCAGCUCCUAGCCUGCCUGCACCCAUUCCUAUGGAGCUCGGGGGAACUGCGUCAAGGGGAACCAGAGGAGGGCGCCCCUCCUGCACCAAUUGUGGUCGACGAGGACACACGGAAGACCGGUGCUGGGGGGGUCCCUCUGGGAGUCGAGAGGGCAGGCAGAACACUCCUCGUUCAUCCCAGACAGCCGUUACAGAAUUACCCACCAAACCCGGACCAAGCAGCGUAAGAGGAAGGAGCAGCAGGAGUACAGCGUUAUGGACCAAUGGACUUGGGAACAGAUCCUGGACGGAGAGGGACCAUGGACUCAGGCUGGGGAAUAUCGCCUCCCGCAGUGGGAGAUUGAAGCGGC